GCCAUGCCGCGUGAGUGAAGAAGGCCUUCGGGUUGUAAAGCUCUUUCAGACGGAAAGAAACGGUCACGGCGAAUACCCGUGACUAAUGACGGUACCGUAAGAAGAAGCACCGGCUAACUACGUGCCAGCAGCCGCGGUAAUACGUAGGGUGCGAGCGUUAAUCGGAAUUACUGGGCGUAAAGCGUGCGCAGGCGGUUUGGUAAGACAGACGUGAAAUCCCCGGGCUUAACCUGGGAACUGCGUUUGUGACUGUCAGACUAGAGUGUAGCAGAGGGGGGUAGAAUUCCACGUGUAGCAGUGAAAUGCGUAGAUAUGUGGAGGAAUACCGAUGGCGAAGGCAGCCCCCUGGGCUAACACUGACGCUCAUGCACGAAAGCGUGGGGAGCAAACAGGAUUAGAUACCCUGGUAGUCCACGCCCUAAACGAUGUCAACUAGGUGUUGGGGAAGAGAUUCUUUAGUACCGCAGCUAACGCGUGAAGUUGACCGCCUGGGGAGUACGGUCGCAAGAUUAAAACUCAAA
Molecule: ribosomal RNA, 521 nt
Filed under: uncultured bacterium
Lineage: Bacteria
Description: bacterial SSU rRNA
Rfam family: Bacterial small subunit ribosomal RNA
Source: RNAcentral